AAUAGGAACACCCUCAAAAUCUAAAUCUCCUGCUGAUGAGUCCAAAGAGUUACCUUCUGAAGCAGAUAAUGUACAAGAGAAGCUGGCAAGAGUGGACCUUCAAGAGAACCAGCACGUUAUCAUAGCAGAGCAUAUUAGAGUUCCUGAUAAUGACCAAUAUCGAUUGGUCUUUGGCAGUUUUGGGAUAGAAUCUGAUUCUUCCGGAAGUCUGGUGUCAGGUUUGCAAGCCAU
RNAcentral lists this unclassified non-coding RNA (231 nucleotides) under Hevea brasiliensis (rubber tree). Lineage: Eukaryota; Viridiplantae; Streptophyta; Magnoliopsida; Malpighiales; Euphorbiaceae. The record is from RNAcentral.